GACGAACGCUGGCGGCGUGCCUAACACAUGCAAGUCGAGCGGAGACAUUGACUUCGGUUAAUGUUUUAGCGGCGGACGGGUGAGUAACGCGUGAGCAACCUUUCUCUCAGCGGGGAAUAACACAGGGAAACUUGUACUAAUACCGCAUAAGACCACAGAGGGGCAUCCUUCAGGGGUCAAAGAUUUAUCACUGAGAGGUGGGCUCGCGUCUGAUUAGCUAGUUGGUGGGGUAACGGCCCACCAAGGCGACGAUCAGUAGCCGGACUGAGAGGUUGAUCGGCCACAUUGGGACUGAGACACGGCCCAGACUCCUACGGGAGGCAGCAGUGGGGGAUAUUGCACAAUGGGCGAAAGCCUGAUGCAGCGACGCCGCGUGAGGGAAGAAGUAUUUCGGUAUGUAAAGCUCUAUCAGCAGGGAAGAAAAUGACGGUACCUGACUAAGAAGCUCCGGCUAAAUACGUG
Molecule: ribosomal RNA, 462 nt
Filed under: uncultured bacterium
Lineage: Bacteria
Description: bacterial SSU rRNA
Rfam family: Bacterial small subunit ribosomal RNA
Source: RNAcentral